This 470-nucleotide ribosomal RNA is filed under the name uncultured bacterium. RNAcentral's name for it is "bacterial SSU rRNA". It matches the Rfam family "Bacterial small subunit ribosomal RNA", at positions 335 to 790 of the family's 1533-position model. The record is from RNAcentral.
ACUCCUACGGGAGGCAGCAGUGGGGAAUAUUGCACAAUGGGGGAAACCCUGAUGCAGCCAUGCCGCGUGUGUGAAGAAGGCCUUGGGUUGUAAAGCACUUUCAGUAGGGAGGAAGGUAGUGUAGUUAACACCUGCAUUAUUUGACGUUACCUACAGAAGAAGCACCGGCUAACUCCGUGCCAGCAGCCGCGGUAAUACGGAGGGUGCGAGCGUUAAUCGGAAUUACUGGGCGUAAAGCGCAUGCAGGCGGCCUGUUAAGUCAGAUGUGAAAGCCCGGGGUCUUAACCGUCGGAAUUGCAUUUGAAACUGGCAGGCUAGAGUCUUGUAGAGGGGUUAGAAUUUCAGGUGUAGCGGUGAAAUGCGUAGAGAUCUAGAAGGUAAUACCCGAGUGGUCGAAGGCCGGCCCCCUAGGACAAAGACUGACGCUCAGAUGCGAAAGCGUGGGAGCAAACGAGGAUUAGACUACCCGU